GCCGAGCAGACACUCACACUCCCUCAGCAGAAGAGACUAAGAUACAGUUUAGACUACAGUGUCCAGAGCUGCACUGAUCUUUGUGUGAUUUCACCAAGAUGGUCUUUAAUGGUUUGAGCACAAGAUUUCCCAAAAGGAAUAUACUUCCACACACCUGAUGCAGAAACAUUAUUCUUCGAGGAAUUGCCAUCUAAAUGAUAGAGCCUAAAAUAAGGGCUGAAGGUCACCUUUAAUUUACUUCUGGAAGCAGGUGAGAAAACGCAUUUUUGCCAUUCAAGGAGAUACUGAACGCAGCAUAAACGAGCUCUCGGGCUUGUGGAUCAUGGGAUAUGUGACUUGCAUGGGAGAAUAGUGCAAGCGGAUUGCCAGAAUGGAUGUAUGAUCUAUAAUCCGAUGAACAAAAUGUUUAUUUGUCUCAUUUUGAAGCUUCAACUUUGUGCGUAAAGCGCGCGUCUCCAAAGGCGCGCGAGGAUUAUCAUGCGCGCAAACGAGAAAAACGAUUACAGCAAAAAAAUUAUUGAACUAGAAAAAAAACAGCA
Long non-coding RNA from Carassius auratus (goldfish), 539 nucleotides. RefSeq lists it as uncharacterized. The transcript has 2 exons. Lineage: Eukaryota; Metazoa; Chordata; Actinopteri; Cypriniformes; Cyprinidae. The record is from RefSeq and is a predicted model, not a curated record.